This 410-nucleotide ribosomal RNA is filed under the name Pseudomonas sp. LR1. RNAcentral describes it as "bacterial SSU rRNA". It matches the Rfam family "Bacterial small subunit ribosomal RNA", at positions 56 to 468 of the family's 1533-position model. The record is from RNAcentral. Lineage: Bacteria; Pseudomonadati; Pseudomonadota; Gammaproteobacteria; Pseudomonadales; Pseudomonadaceae.
UGCAAGUCGAGCGGUAGAGAGAAGCUUGCUUCUCUUGAGAGCGGCGGACGGGUGAGUAAUGCCUAGGAAUCUGCCUGGUAGUGGGGGAUAACGCUCGGAAACGGACGCUAAUACCGCAUACGUCCUACGGGAGAAAGCAGGGGACCUUCGGGCCUUGCGCUAUCAGAUGAGCCUAGGUCGGAUUAGCUAGUUGGUGAGGUAAUGGCUCACCAAGGCGACGAUCCGUAACUGGUCUGAGAGGAUGAUCAGUCACACUGGAACUGAGACACGGUCCAGACUCCUACGGGAGGCAGCAGUGGGGAAUAUUGGACAAUGGGCGAAAGCCUGAUCCAGCCAUGCCGCGUGUGUGAAGAAGGUCUUCGGAUUGUAAAGCACUUUAAUUUGGGAGGAAGGGCAUUUACCUAAUACGU